Molecule: ribosomal RNA, 708 nt
Filed under: uncultured bacterium
Lineage: Bacteria
Description: bacterial SSU rRNA
Rfam family: Bacterial small subunit ribosomal RNA
Source: RNAcentral
UCUGCCUGAGGAGUGGGGGAUAACAUUCGGAAACGGAUGCUAAUGCCGCAUAUCUUCUGGAACCGCAUGGUUCUUGAACGAAAGACGGCUUCGGCUGUCGCUCUUAGAUGAUCCCGCGGCGUGUUAGUUAGUUGGUGGGGUAAAGGCCUACCAAGACCAUGAUACGUAGCCGACCUGAGAGGGUGAUCGGCCACACUGGGACUGAGACACGGCCCAGACUCCCACGGGAGGCAGCAGUAGGGAAUCUUCCACAAUGGGUGAAAACCUGAUGGAGCAAUGCCGCGUGAAUGAAGAAGGUCUUCGGAUCGUAAAGUUCUGUUAUUAGAGAAGAACAAGUCAAGGAGUAACUGUCUUGACUUUGACGGUACCUAACCAGAAAGUCACGGCUAACUACGUGCCAGCAGCCGCGGUAAUACGUAGGUGACAAGCGUUGUCCGGAAUUAUUGGGCGUAAAGGGAGCGCAGGCGGUUGGAAUAGUCUGAUGUGAAAGCCCACGGCUUAACCGUGGAAGGUCAUUGGAAACUGUCCAACUUGAAUACAGAAGAGGUAAGUGGAAUUCCAAGUGUAGCGGUGAAAUGCGUAGAUAUUUGGGGGAACACCAGUGGCGAAGGCGACUUACUGGUCUGUAAUUGACGCUGAGGCUCGAAAGCGUGGGUAGCAAACAGGAUUAGAUACCCUGGUAGUCCUGGCCGUAAACGAUGAAUGCUA